GGCGGCGUGCUUAACACAUGCAAGUGGCGCGACGAACCAGGGCUUGCCCUGGGGCUAAGCCGCGAACGGGUGAGUAACACGUGAGUAAUCUGCCCCGAUGACCGGGACAACCCGAGGAAACUCGGGCUAAUACCGGAUGUGGUGCACGGGUAUAAGCCUGUGUACUAAAGGAAGCUUCGGCCUCCGCAUUGGGAGGAGCUCGCGGCCCAUUAGCUUGUUGGUGGGGUAACGGCCUACCAAGGCAACGAUGGGUAGCUGGUCUGAGAGGACGAUCAGCCACACUGGGACUGAGACACGGCCCANACUCCUACGGGAGGCAACAGUGGGGAAUCUUGCGCAAUGCGCGAAAGCGUGACGCAGCAACGCCGCGUGGGGGAAGACGGCCUUCGGGUUGUAAACCCCUUUCAGGAAGGACGAAGGUUCACCGGUUAACAGCCGUGUGGAUUGACGGUACCUCCACAAGAAGCUCCGGCUAACUACGUGCCAGCAGCCGCGGUAAUAC
This 502-nucleotide ribosomal RNA is filed under the name uncultured Actinomycetes bacterium. RNAcentral describes it as "bacterial SSU rRNA". It matches the Rfam family "Bacterial small subunit ribosomal RNA", at positions 38 to 526 of the family's 1533-position model. The record is from RNAcentral. Lineage: Bacteria; Bacillati; Actinomycetota; Actinomycetes.